This 384-nucleotide unclassified non-coding RNA is filed under the name soil metagenome. RNAcentral describes it as "partial contains 5.8S ribosomal RNA, internal transcribed spacer 2, and large subunit ribosomal RNA". The stretch from base 1 to 120 matches the Rfam family "5.8S ribosomal RNA", at positions 35 to 154 of the family's 154-position model. The record is from RNAcentral.
GAUGAAGAACGUAGCGAAAUGCGAUAAGUAGUGUGAAUUGCAGAAUUCAGUGAAUCAUCGAAUCUUUGAACGCACAUUGCGCCUCCUGGUAUUCCGGGAGGCAUGCCUGUCCGAGCGUCAUUCAAAAACAUAAACCUUGUCCCAGAGAGAUCUGGGGGGAUGGUUUGCUGUUGAGAGAUGAGCCUGCUAAGGGCUCCCUCUCGAAUUUCAGAGGCGAACUGAAACAAAAACCAGUGGGUGUAGGUAGUAGUAAAGAAAUUUUCUAUCCAUCUCCUUGCCAGUUUUUGUGACACUUUAGCCGAUCCAACUAAAUUUUACUUCUGUUUUUGACCUCGGAUCAGGUAGGGAUACCCGCUGAACUUAAGCAUAUCAAUAAGCGGAGGA